UCCCGCUUGACGCGGGCAGUCUCCCUAGAGUGCCCACCUGAAAUGAUGGCAACUAGGGACAGGGGUUGCGCUCGUUGCGGGACUUAAGGCAACACCUCACGGCACGAGCUGACGACAGCCAUGCAGCACCUGUGUUACGGCUCCCUUUCGGGCACACCCGCAUCUCUGCGGGCUUCCGUACAUGUCAAGGGUAGGUAAGGUUUUUCGCGUUGCAUCGAAUUAAUCCACAUAAUCCGCCGCUUGUGCGGGUCCCCGUCAAUUCCUUUGAGUUUUAACCUUGCGGCCGUACUCCCCAGGCGGUCAACUUCACGCGUUAGCUUCGUUACCAAGGAAUUGCUUCCCCGACAACCAGUUGACAUCGUUUAGGGCGUGGACUAC
This 378-nucleotide unclassified non-coding RNA is filed under the name uncultured Gammaproteobacteria bacterium. RNAcentral describes it as "contains 16S-23S intergenic spacer region". The record is from RNAcentral. Lineage: Bacteria; Pseudomonadati; Pseudomonadota; Gammaproteobacteria.